Long non-coding RNA from Chinchilla lanigera (long-tailed chinchilla), 2383 nucleotides. The record is from Ensembl. Lineage: Eukaryota; Metazoa; Chordata; Mammalia; Rodentia; Chinchillidae.
CUGUAGAAGAUAAAGGUUGUGAAACCCUGAGGCCUCUCAGGUCUGGCCCUAUGAGAGGCUGACAGGCCAGCACACAGGCUGGCCCUUUAAGGCAAAAGGAAAAACAAGCAUCCUCUUUCCAAGUCCUCUACCUUGCAGAAAUAAGGAUACCCAGCCAGAAAGCCAUCUGUACACCAAACAAACAAACAAAAACUUCUUUAGUAACCUCUCAGAAAGUUAGGAAAAGGUUUAACUCUACCCUGGACUUGAAUAUGUAGCCCCAAGGCGGGUGGUCCUCAUUUUUCUGCUUGGGGUAGGAGUGGCCCUUGCGGCUCCGGAGAUAACAGCCUGAUGUGCUGAGAGCCUCUGCUGAACCUUUUUACAUCCGUGUGGCACAGUGGGAACAAAGGGUUAUGACCAAGGAUGGAAGGUGCUGGCUGGACUGGGUGCACAGAGGUUUUGGAUGAGGGGAAAUGAUACGCUGGUGGGAUCUAUAGCGUUCCCCAAAUGGGGAGGUAGCAGAUGGGGCUCCAGCAGUUUGCAAAGGAUGUUCAGUGCAUGAGCCAGGAGGGAGGUGAGGGUGGUGUGAGGAGCAGCUAGAGAUACAGGCCAGGCAGGGUCUGCCCGGAGGAACUUGUACAUACAGCUGAGGCAGGACAGCCAUGAGAAACAUGGAGCCCUGAGAAGCAUAGGCAGGUGGGGCUCUGCAGACCCUGUCAGCCCGCUGCCUCCCAGCCCAUGCUCCCAGGUCUUAUUCCAUCCUGCCCACCAAGCUCCCUGCUCUGCACCCAGCUCUCCUUCAAUCUUCAACUCACCCUCUGGGUCACUAGUUUGGGGCCUGUGCCCCUGGUUCUUAUACCAUGUGCCCUCCCCAGGGUUUUUUUUUUUUUUUUUUUCUUUUUUUUUUUUUUUUUUUACCAAUCCCCAUCAUUAAGCAAGGAGAACUGGAGAGACCAUUAUCAAGGGCAUUUUCAUGUAUCUCUUGCUGAAUUAACUGAACAAAAACUCACAGGAAAUGGAGGAAUUGACUGGUACUGUAACGUCCAUGGAUGGACAGCAAGCCACUGCUCUGCUGGAAGACGUACCUCCUGGCAAUUGUAAACCCAGCAACAGUGAAGAAUUAAAAAAGCAGAGCUUAAAAGAAGAUGAUUUAUCUGAAGGUGGGAAAGGGGGAAAGAGAUGACAGACAGCUACUCUGGAUCAGUAGGGAGCAUUCAAAAGUGAGUAUCUGUGGAUUUUCUGACUCCAGCUACUUUUAUUGGGAUCCUUCUCCCCAUGGAGGGUCCUGAAUCUGAUUGGCUACCUGGCUAUCUUUGAUCCUAACCUUGGAUUUCUUCUGCCCAUAUGACUUUUCCUUGUCCUUUGGUGGUCGGCAAGAGUAUGAGUGGGGGCCUCAUGGAAAGAUACUUUAGGUUUAAGGAUUGAGCAAAGGGGAAGUGUGUGAUUCUUAUGUUAUGUGUAUGAUUCUCAUGCUCCUGGGACCUUUCUGGGUCCGUUUCUUCUUCUUUCUUUGCCUUUGUCUUUCUGAUUGCUUGAGUCUAGCUGCAGAGGCAGAAGAUGCCCUUAGAAGGAUUCUCUAUUAAUUUUUAAUAAAGCUCAACAUAGCCUUCAACCUAUCUUUUCUCUACCUACAGGGCUGCCUGUCCCUACAAUACAAUAAUGAUUCCUCUUCGUAGGGAAUUGCUCUUAUAUCUUAGCCACAUUUUUUUAUACAUGAUCUUAGCCAAAAGGCCAAGAAGCAAUGAGCCACAUUUUUAAAACCAGAAAUUUUAUGAUAGUUUCUUUGAGCAUAGUCCAACAACAUCAGAAACAAGAAAAGCAUAAAAAAUGACCAACCAAAAAUCUAACAAUUUGGAAAUUAAGAAACAGUCUCUGAAAUAUGCCUUGGAUCAAAGAGUAUUUAAAAACUGGAAUGAUAAAAGAGCAAUGAAAAAGGGAAUUUGUCCCACCAAACCUAGAAGACAUCCCUUAAAGCUGUACUCUGAGGAAAAUGCGUGGUCUUAAACGCUGCCAUAUAAAAAAUGUAAAUCUCAAAAGAAACUUAGUAGUUCUCUUCUUAAGAAAUUGUAACAAGAACCAUGCUGAAGAGUAAGUUAUUAAAGGUGGAAACUAAUAUUAAUGAAAUAAUAAAAUAAUGGAAUAUCUAAUCCAAGAGAUGGUCCUUUCAGGACACCAGCAAAGUACUGGUGAAUCUAAUGUAAGAAAGAGAGAAAUAAUACUUAGAUUAAGAAUGAAAAAAAUAGAUUAAGCUACACAAACAGAGGCUAUGGAAAUAAUUGUAAAGAAUGGAAUUUUUAAGAAUUCUGAACAACAGAACUUUUGGGAAAUAUUAUUUUGUAGUGGUUUUCUAAUGCUAUAAGCCCAAAGAUUAUGUUCUGCAAGAUUUUCCUUACAGCCCAGGGCA